This 496-nucleotide ribosomal RNA is filed under the name uncultured bacterium. Its description in RNAcentral is "partial 16S ribosomal RNA". It matches the Rfam family "Bacterial small subunit ribosomal RNA", at positions 28 to 506 of the family's 1533-position model. The record is from RNAcentral.
GAUGAACGCUGGCGGCGUGCCUAAUACAUGCAAGUCGAGCGAACAGAUGAGGAGCUUGCUCCUCUGACGUUAGCGGCGGACGGGUGAGUAACACGUGGAUAACCUACCUAUAAGACUGGGAUAACUUCGGGAAACCGGAGCUAAUACCGGAUAAUAUAUUGAACCGCAUGGUUCAAUAGUGAAAGACGGUUUUGCUGUCACUUAUAGAUGGAUCCGCGCCGCAUUAGCUAGUUGGUAAGGUAACGGCUUACCAAGGCAACGAUGCGUAGCCGACCUGAGAGGGUGAGCGGCCACACUGGAACUGAGACACGGCCCAGACCCCCAGGGGAGGCAGCAGUAGGGAAUUUUCCGAAAUGGGGGAAAGCCUGCCGGAGCACCGCCGGGUGAGUGAUGAAGGGCUUCGGAUCGUAAAACUCUUUUAUUAGGGAAAAACAAAUGUGUAAGUAACUAUGCACGUCUUGACGGUACCUAAGCAGAAAGCCACGGCUACCUACGU